RNAcentral lists this unclassified non-coding RNA (321 nucleotides) under uncultured fungus. Its description in RNAcentral is "partial contains small subunit ribosomal RNA, internal transcribed spacer 1, and 5.8S ribosomal RNA". The stretch from base 1 to 73 matches the Rfam family "Eukaryotic small subunit ribosomal RNA", at positions 1759 to 1831 of the family's 1831-position model. Lineage: Eukaryota; Fungi. The record is from RNAcentral.
UCAAACUUGGUCAUUUAGAGGAAGUAAAAGUCGUAACAAGGUUUCCGUAGGUGAACCUGCGGAAGGAUCAUUAAAAAGGUUACCAGCCCAUCCGGUUGGAUCCUCAAACCACUGUGUACCAAACUCUUCGUUGCCUCGGCGGGCUGGGCGCUGGGUUUUUUCUCGACCCGGCCGCCCCCUCCCCUCGCGGGAGGAGCCGCCUGCCAAAGGAUUUUCAAAAACCAAUUCGUUGACGAACGUCUGAUUUUUACAUUUUGCAAAUGCAAGAAUACAACUUUCAACAAUGGAUCUCUUGGCUCCGGCAUCGAUGAAGAACGCAGC